RNAcentral lists this ribosomal RNA (374 nucleotides) under uncultured organism. Its description in RNAcentral is "bacterial SSU rRNA". It matches the Rfam family "Bacterial small subunit ribosomal RNA", at positions 526 to 896 of the family's 1533-position model. The record is from RNAcentral.
CGUAGGACGCAAGCGUUAUCCGGAAUUACUGGGCGUAAAGCGCGUGUAGGUGGAUGUCUAAGUCACUUGUGAAAGCUCCUGGCUAAACUGGGAGAGGUCAGGUGAUACUGGAUAUCUUGAGGAUGUCAGAGGGAAGCAGAAUUCCGGGUGUAGUGGUGAAAUGCGUAGAGAUCCGGAGGAAUACCAGAGGCGAAGGCGGCUUCCUGGGACAUACCUGACACUGAGACGCGAAAGCACGGGGAGCGAACGGGAUUAGAGACCCCGGUAGUCCGUGCCGUAAACGAUGCAGACUAGAUGUACGUUCCUCUACGGGGGAAUGUGUGUCGAAGCUAACGCGAUAAGUCUGCCGCCUGGGGAGUACGGUCGCAAGGCUA